Molecule: ribosomal RNA, 696 nt
Filed under: uncultured bacterium
Lineage: Bacteria
Description: bacterial SSU rRNA
Rfam family: Bacterial small subunit ribosomal RNA
Source: RNAcentral
ACAGAGUUUGAUCCUGGCUCAGGACGAACGCUGGCGGCGUGCUUAACGCAUGCAAGUCGAACGAUGAAGCCUUUCGGGGUGGAUUAGUGGCGAACGGGUGAGUAACACGUGGGUAACCUGCCCUUGUCUUUGGGAUAAGCCCUGGAAACGGGGUCUAAUACCGGAUAUGACCUUCCUGCGCAUGUAGGUGGGUGGAAAGUUCUGGCGGACAGGGAUGGGCCCGCGGCCUAUCAGCUUGUUGGUGGGGUGAUGGCCUACCAAGGCGACGACGGGUAGCCGGCCUGAGAGGGCGACCGGCCACACUGGGACUGAGACACGGCCCAGACUCCUACGGGAGGCAGCAGUGGGGAAUAUUGCACAAUGGGCGAAAGCCUGAUGCAGCGACGCCGCGUGAGGGAUGACGGCCUUCGGGUUGUAAACCUCUUUCGCCCGGGACGAAGCGAGAGUGACGGUACCGGGAGAAGAAGCACCGGCUGACUACGUGCCAGCAGCCGCGGUAAUACGCAAGGUGCGAGCGUUGUCCGGAAUUAUUGGGCGUAAAGAGCUCGUAGGCGGUUUGUCGCGUCGACUGUGAAAACCUGGGGCUCAACUCUGGGCUUGCAGUCGAUACGGGCAGACUUGAGUUCGGUAGGGGAGACUGGAAUUCCUGGUGUAGCGGUGAAAUGCGCAGAUAUCAGGAGGAACACCGGUGGCGAA